Molecule: ribosomal RNA, 253 nt
Filed under: uncultured bacterium
Lineage: Bacteria
Description: partial 16S ribosomal RNA
Rfam family: Bacterial small subunit ribosomal RNA
Source: RNAcentral
UACAGAGGGGGCGAGCGUUAUUCGGAAUUAUUGGGCGUAAAGGGCGCGUAGGCGGCCUGGCAAGUGGAAGGUGAAAUCCCUCGGCUUAACCGAGGAACUGCCCUCCAAACUGCUUGGCUUGAGUCCGGGAGAGGUGAGUGGAAUUCCCAGUGGAGCGGUGAAAUGCGUAGAUAUCGGGAGGAACACCUGUGGCGAAAGCAGCGCACUGGACCACAACUGACGCUGAGGCGCGAAAGCGAGGGGAGCGAACGGG